AUUGAACGCUGGCGGCAGGCUUAACACAUGCAAGUCGAACGGUAACAGGAGAAAGCUUGCUUUCUUGCUGACGAGUGGCGGACGGGUGAGUAAUGCUUGGGAAUCUGGCUUAUGGAGGGGGAUAACGACGGGAAACUGUCGCUAAUACCGCGUAGAGUCGGGAGACGAAAGUGCGGGACCGCAAGGCCGCAUGCCAUGAGAUGAGCCCAAGUGGGAUUAGGUAGUUGGUGGGGUAAAGGCCUACCAAGCCGACGAUCUCUAGCUGGUCUGAGAGGAUGACCAGCCACACCGGGACUGAGACACGGCCCGGACUCCUACGGGAGGCAGCAGUGGGGAAUAUUGCGCAAUGGGGGCAACCCUGACGCAGCCAUGCCGCGUGAAUGAAGAAGGCCUUCGGGUUGUAAAGUUCUUUCGGUGACGAGGAAGGCGUGAUGUUUAAUAGGCAUCACGAUUGACGUUAAUCACAGAAGAAGCACCGUCUAACUCCGUGCCAGCAGCCGCGGUAAUACGGAGGGUGCGAUUGCUAAUCGGAAUAACUGGGCGUACAGGGCACGCUUGCGGCUAUCUUACUUGAUGUGAGAUCCCCCGGGCUUGAACUGGUAACUGUGUUUCCGAGUGGUUAGCUUGCAUUGCGUAGGG
This 639-nucleotide ribosomal RNA is filed under the name uncultured Aggregatibacter sp. Its description in RNAcentral is "bacterial SSU rRNA". It matches the Rfam family "Bacterial small subunit ribosomal RNA", at positions 28 to 656 of the family's 1533-position model. Lineage: Bacteria; Pseudomonadati; Pseudomonadota; Gammaproteobacteria; Pasteurellales; Pasteurellaceae. The record is from RNAcentral.